Molecule: ribosomal RNA, 497 nt
Filed under: uncultured bacterium
Lineage: Bacteria
Description: partial 16S ribosomal RNA
Rfam family: Bacterial small subunit ribosomal RNA
Source: RNAcentral
GAUGAACGCUGGCGGCGUGCCUAAUACAUGCAAGUCGAGCGAACGGACGAGAAGCUUGCUUCUCUGAUGUUAGCGGCGGACGGGUGAGUAACACGUGGAUAACCUACCUAUAAGACUGGGAUAACUUCGGGAAACCGGAGCUAAUACCGGAUAAUAUUUUGAACCGCAUGGUUCAAAAGUGAAAGACGGUCUUGCUGUCACUUAUAGAUGGAUCCGCGCUGCAUUAGCUAGUUGGUAAGGUAACGGCUUACCAAGGCAACGAUGCAUAGCCGACCUGAGAGGGUGAUCAGCCACACUGGAACUGAGACACGGUCCAGACUCCUACGGGAGGCAGCAGUAGGGAAUCUUCCGCAAUGGGCGAAAGCCUGACGGAGCCACGCCGCGUGAGUGAUGAAGGUCUUCGGAUCGUAAAACUCUGUUAUUAGGGAAGAACAUAUGUGUAAGUAACUGUGCACAUCUUGACGGUACCUAAUCAGAAAGCCACGGCUAACUACGUG